UAGAAGGUAAUGACUUCAUCAUCAGAAUGUGGCCCCUAACUGCGCAGUAAACUUCAUUAAGCCCCAUCAAAAAUUGGAUCAGCUUCAUGUCUUCAUUCAUUUUUUGAUUAUGGGUCUUUGCUCCACACUUGCACUCACAAGAGCAUGUCAUAAAAGUAUUCAACACCUUCAACUGAUCCCAGAUUCUUUUAAGUGAACAGGCUCAGGUACAACACAUAAAGACUGAAACUUAGAGACUACAUUCUCAGACUUAAGACUACAUUUAAGAGAAAACUUCGAAGACUGAAUGUUAGAAAACUUAAUGGAAUUGUUGGCAAUGGAUGUGUUAUCCUUCAGCAUGUAUAAACCAGCAGCACAAUCACCAAACUUCCGAUUAAUCCUCACUGUAGAAAGGUCCUGUAAGAAGCAGCAAUUUUUAGUAAAGAGAACUCCAACAUCUUUUUGCUCAUAGAAUUGAGUAACAGAUAAAAGAUUAUGCUUAAAAGAAGGGACAUAUAGCACAUUUUCUAACUUUACUUGAGAAGACAAAUUAACACUACCCAAGAAAUAAACCUUGACCCUAUAUGCAUUUGGAAUCCUAACAGAGAUAGGUUUAGAUAAUUGUUUUAUAUCAUUCAAAAGUGACUUGUCAUAAGUCAUAUGUUGUGAUGCCCCUGUAUCUAUGAUCCAUUGAUUUUCAGGAAAAGUGGUGUAACAACUAGAGAAAAGAUGCAAUGCUAUAGCAAUACCAGCCAGAUUUGCAUUCACAUCUGCAUAAGAACCUGAAUGGUUGGAACCUUCUGCAUGAACUGAUUGAAACAUCUGAAUCAGAUUUUCACAUUGCUCUUUUGAGAAGCCUUGAGAGUUAACAAAGGUGGACAUAGUGUUUCUUGAAACUGAUGGUAUAGGAUAAGGUGCUUCAUUUGCUUCCAUUGCAUUUGCUUUUGCAUUGCUGAAAUUUUUCUUUCCUUUUGUGAACUUGAAAUCCUGUGGAUACCCAAUCAGCCUAUAACAAUUACCUCUCACAUGAUUAGUCUUUUUACAGUAGGUGCAGUAUAAAUUGUUCCUCCCAUUCGUCAUUUCAGAGUUUCCCCUUUGAGCAAUGUUGUCUCUUACUUCUCCCAUUUUCGCAAGUGCUGGAUUGUGCACAACAGGGUUGUAUCUGGUUGAGAAACUAGAUCCAGGUGUAGUGAACUUGUUAGCGAAAAAAAAACCAACAGAAUCGAUUGAUACAUGUUUACCUGAUUGCACCUCUCUCUGUGAUUCAUCAUGCAGGAUUAUGGAAUAUGCUUGGUAGAAGGUAAUGGCUUCAUCAUCAGAAUGUGGCCCCUAACUGUGCAAUAAACUUCAUUGAGCCCUAUAAAAAAUUGGAUCAGCUUCAUGUCUUCAUUCAUUUUUUGAUUAUGGGUCUUUGCUCCACACUUGCACUCACAAGAGCAUGUCAUAAAAGUGUUCAACACCUUCAACUGAUCCCAGAUUCUUUUAAGUUUAGUAUAGUAUGUUGCAACAUCAUUGCUUCCUUGACUAAUAUUGUUCAACUCUCUUUGCAGCUGAAAAAGUUUGGAACCAUCAGGCUGUCCAUAUCUCUCCUCUAGCUCAGACCACAAAUCCACAUCAGUCGAGAGUAUAUGACACUCUCAGAAAUGUCCUUG
This 1631-nucleotide long non-coding RNA is filed under the name Solanum tuberosum (potato). RNAcentral's name for it is "long non-coding RNA (STUB_LNC007894)". The record is from RNAcentral. Lineage: Eukaryota; Viridiplantae; Streptophyta; Magnoliopsida; Solanales; Solanaceae.